RNAcentral lists this ribosomal RNA (555 nucleotides) under uncultured bacterium. RNAcentral describes it as "partial 16S ribosomal RNA". It matches the Rfam family "Bacterial small subunit ribosomal RNA", at positions 355 to 900 of the family's 1533-position model. The record is from RNAcentral.
UAGGGAAUCUUCCACAAUGGACGCAAGUCUGAUGGAGCAACGGCCGCGUGAGUGAAGAAGGUUUUCGGACCGUAAAGCUCUGUUGUUGGUGAAGAAGGAUAGAGGUAGUAACUGGCCUUUAUUUGACGGUAAUCAACCAGAAAGUCACGGCUAACUACGUGCCAGCAGCCGCGGUAAUACGUAGGUGGCAAGCGUUGUCCGGAUUUAUUGGGCGUAAAGCGAGCGCAGGCGGAAGAAUAAGUCUGAUGUGAAAGCCCUCGGCUUAACCGAGGAAUUGCAUCGGAAACUGUUUUCUUGAGUGCAGAAGAGGAGAGUAGAACUCCAUGUGUAGCGGUGGAAUGCGUAGAUAUAUGGAAGAAUACCAGUGGCGAAGGCGGCUCUCUGGUCUGCAACUGACGCUGAGGCUCGAAAGCAUGGGUAGCGAACAGGAUUAGAUACCCUGGUAGUCCAUGCCGUAAACGAUGAGUGCUAAGUGUUGGGAGGCCUCCGCCUCUCAGUGCUGCAGCUAACGCAUUAAGCACUCCGCCUGGGGGAGUACGACCGCAAGGUUGAAAC